GGUUAGAAUUGAUUUAUCAAGUUCAGUUUCGACCUGAAAUUAGACCCUUGGUCCUUACCU
RNAcentral lists this transfer RNA (60 nucleotides) under Streptocephalus sirindhornae. Its description in RNAcentral is "tRNA-Arg". The record is from RNAcentral. Lineage: Eukaryota; Metazoa; Arthropoda; Branchiopoda; Anostraca; Streptocephalidae.